GACGAACGCUGGCGGCGUGCCUAAUACAUGCAAGUAGAACGCUGAAGCGAGGAGCUUACUCUUCUUGGAUGAGUUGCGAACGGGUGAGUAACGCGUAGGUAACCUGCCUUGUAGCGGGGGAUAACUAUUGGAAACGAUAGCUAAUACCGCAUAACAAUGGAUGACACAUGUCAUUUAUUUGAAAGGGGCAAUUGCUCCACUACAAGAUGGACCUGCGUUGUAUUAGCUAGUAGGUGAGGUAAUGGCUCACCUAGGCGACGAUACAUAGCCGACCUGAGAGGGUGAACAGCCACACUGGGACUGAGACACGGCCCAGACGCCUUCGGGAAGCAGCAGUAGGGGAACUUCGGCAAUGGGGGCAAACCUGACCGGGCAACGCCGCGGGAGUGAAGAAGGUUUUCGGAUCGGAAAGCUCUGCUGUAAGUCAAGAACGGGUGUGAGAGUGGAAAGUUCACACUGUGACGGUAGCUUACCAGAAAGGGACGGCUAACUACGUG
Molecule: ribosomal RNA, 497 nt
Filed under: uncultured bacterium
Lineage: Bacteria
Description: partial 16S ribosomal RNA
Rfam family: Bacterial small subunit ribosomal RNA
Source: RNAcentral